RNAcentral lists this ribosomal RNA (465 nucleotides) under Vreelandella stevensii. RNAcentral's name for it is "partial 16S ribosomal RNA". It matches the Rfam family "Bacterial small subunit ribosomal RNA", at positions 338 to 795 of the family's 1533-position model. The record is from RNAcentral. Lineage: Bacteria; Pseudomonadati; Pseudomonadota; Gammaproteobacteria; Oceanospirillales; Halomonadaceae.
CCUACGGGAGGCAGCAGUGGGGAAUAUUGGACAAUGGGGGCAACCCUGAUCCAGCCAUGCCGCGUGUGUGAAGAAGGCCCUCGGGUUGUAAAGCACUUUCAGUGAGGAAGAACGCCUGGUGGUUAAUACCCAUCAGGAAAGACAUCACUCACAGAAGAAGCACCGGCUAACUCCGUGCCAGCAGCCGCGGUAAUUCGGAGGGUGCGAGCGUUAAUCGGAAUUACUGGGCGUAAAGCGCGCGUAGGUGGCUUGAUAAGCCGGUUGUGAAAGCCCCGGGCUCAACCUGGGAACGGCAUCCGGAACUGUCAAGCUAGAGUGCAGGAGAGGAAGGUAGAAUUCCCGGUGUAGCGGUGAAAUGCGUAGAGAUCGGGAGGAAUACCAGUGGCGAAGGCGGCCUUCUGGACUGACACUGACACUGAGGUGCGAAAGCGUGGGUAGCAAACAGGAUUAGAUACCCUAGUAGUC